RNAcentral lists this long non-coding RNA (706 nucleotides) under Theobroma cacao (cacao). RNAcentral's name for it is "long non-coding RNA (TCAC_LNC006222)". Lineage: Eukaryota; Viridiplantae; Streptophyta; Magnoliopsida; Malvales; Malvaceae. The record is from RNAcentral.
CCAGCUACCCUAUUAAAUUUUAUUAAUUAUGAAACAAAAAGUACAAAGGAGGGGGACUUAAACCGAACCUCCAAGUUACAUGAUCAUGAGAAAGUUUUAGAUAAGCACCUAGAGUAAGGAGAACCAUUUUACGUGCAUAACUUUUGAUGCUACAGUAAAACAGAUAUUCCCAACAAUUACAUUGAGUCAAUAAACUAAAAUAAAAUUUUAAACAGAAAAUGUAAAUAAGAAAAGCACGUAGAAUGGAGUGUUUCAUUUUAUGACCAUAAUUUUUACUAUCGUCAUAAAAUUGAAACACAUCCAUAUUACAAAAUUCUAUGUCACUAGCAAAAUAAAAAAAUGCUCAAGGUUCAGCAAGCAGGAUUCCACAUACAUUAUAGUCACACAUGUUAUUCAUAAAAUCUCUAUUGCAUUAAUACAUGUGAACAUAUGCAAACAUAUAUGUAUAUAUAUACAUCCACCGCCUCCCCAACUCAUGUGCAUCCCCCCACAUUGUGCACAUAGCUAGAGUCAUUGUGUGCAUCCCCCCACAUCGUGCACAUCAAAUGCCGUCGUGUACAUCCCCCCACAUCGUGCACAUGGGCAAUAUCAUCAUCCGCCUACCUCACCACCAUCAUUACCGGUAUGUGCAUCCCCCCACAUCGUGCACACACACGGUUAUAUCCAUUACACAAUAUUAUCUACCAAUGUACUAUACAUAUAUAUA